CUGAACCAGCCAAGUAGCGUGAAGGAUGACUGCCCUAUGGGUUGUAAACUUCUUUUAUACGGGAAUAAAGUGAGCCACGUGUGGCUUUUUGUAUGUACCGUAUGAAUAAGGAUCGGCUAACUCCGUGCCAGCAGCCGCGGUAAUACGGAGGAUCCGAGCGUUAUCCGGAUUUAUUGGGUUUAAAGGGAGCGUAGGCGGGUUGUUAAGUCAGUUGUGAAAGUUUGCGG
Molecule: ribosomal RNA, 227 nt
Filed under: uncultured bacterium
Lineage: Bacteria
Also listed under: 1 other name
Description: partial 16S ribosomal RNA
Rfam family: Bacterial small subunit ribosomal RNA
Source: RNAcentral